Molecule: ribosomal RNA, 460 nt
Filed under: uncultured bacterium
Lineage: Bacteria
Description: partial 16S ribosomal RNA
Rfam family: Bacterial small subunit ribosomal RNA
Source: RNAcentral
CCUACGGGUGGCAGCAGUGAGGAAUAUUGGUCAAUGGGCGUAAGCCUGAACCAGCCAAGUCGCGUGAGGGAUGAAGGUUCUAUGGAUCGUAAACUUCUUUUAUAAGGGAAUAAAGUGCGGGACGUGUCUCGGUUUGUAUGUACCUUAUGAAUUAGGAUCGGCUAACUUCGUGCCAGCAGCCGCGGCAAUACGGAGGUUCCGUGCGUUAUCCGGAUUUAUUGGGUUUAAAGGGUGCGUAGGCGGCCUUUUAAGUCAGCGGUGAAAGUCUGUGGCUCAACCGUAGAAUUGCCGUUGAAACUGGGAGGCUUGAGUAUGUUUGAGGCAGGCGGAAUGCGUGGUGUAGCGGUGAAAUGCUUAGAUAUCACGCAGAACCCCGGUUGCGAAGGCAGCUUUCCAAGCCAUGACUGACGCUGAUGCGCGAAAGCGUGGGGAUCAAACAGGAUUAGAUACCCUUGUAGUC